AUUGAACGCUGGCGGCAGGCCUAACACAUGCAAGUCGAACGAGUGGCGGACGGGUGAGUAAUGUCUGGGAAUCUGCCCGAUGGAGGGGGAUAACUACUGGAAACGGUAGCUAAUACCGCAUACUAUCGGAUGUACCCAGAUGGGAUUAGCUAGUAGGUGGGGUAAAGGCUCACCUAGGCGACGAUCCCUAGCUGGUCUGAGAGGAUGAACAGCCACACUGGAACUGAGACACGGUCCAGACUCCUACGGGAGGCAGCAGUGGGGAAUAUUGCACAAUGGGCGCAAGCCUGAUGCAGCCAUGCCGCGUGUAUGAAGAAGGCCUUAGGGUUGUAAAGUACUUUCAGCGGGGAGGCGUUACUCGCAGAAGAAGCACCGGCUAACUCCGUGCCAGCAGCCGCGGUAAUAC
RNAcentral lists this ribosomal RNA (406 nucleotides) under uncultured bacterium. RNAcentral describes it as "partial 16S ribosomal RNA". It matches the Rfam family "Bacterial small subunit ribosomal RNA", at positions 30 to 526 of the family's 1533-position model. The record is from RNAcentral.